GCAUAACGCGAAGAACCUUACCUACUCUUGACAUCCAGAGAACUUAGCAGAGAUGCUUUGGUGCCUUCGGGAACCGUGAGACAGGUGCUGCAUGGCUGUCGUCAGCUCGUGUUGUGAAAUGUUGGGUUAAGUCCCGCAACGAGCGCAACCCUUAUCCUUUGUUGCCAGCGGUUAGGCCGGGAACUCAAAGGAGACUGCCAGUGAUAAACUGGAGGAAGGUGGGGAUGACGUCAAGUCAUCAUGGCCCUUACGAGUAGGGCUACACACGUGCUACAAUGGCGCAUACAAAGAGAAGCGACCUCGCGAGAGCAAGCGGACCUCAUAAAGUGCGUCGUAGUCCGGAUUGGAGUCUGCAACUCGACUCCAUGAAGUCGGAAUCGCUAGUAAUCGUAGAUCAGAAUGCUACGGUGAAUACGUUCCCGGGUCUUGUACACACCG
Molecule: ribosomal RNA, 438 nt
Filed under: uncultured bacterium
Lineage: Bacteria
Description: bacterial SSU rRNA
Rfam family: Bacterial small subunit ribosomal RNA
Source: RNAcentral